UUCAUAACCCUUUGUUGUCCGACUCUGUUGCCUCCGGGGCGACCCUGCCUUCGGGCGGGGGCUCCGGGUGGACACUUCAAACUCUUGCGUAACUUUGCAGUCUGAGUAAACUUAAUUAAUAAAUUAAAACUUUUAACAACGGAUCUCUUGGUUCUGGCAUCGAUGAAGAACGCAGCGAAAUGCGAUAAGUAAUGUGAAUUGCAGAAUUCAGUGAAUCAUCGAAUCUUUGAACGCACAUUGCGCCCCUUGGUAUUCCGAGGGGCAUGCCUAUUCGAGCGUCAUUAUCACCCCUCAAGCUUUGCUUGGUGUUGAGGCCUGCUGUAAGGGCAGCCUCUAAAAUCAGUGGCAGUGCUGUCAGGCUCUAAGCGUAGUAAUUUUCAUCGCUAUAGACACCUGGUGGACACUCGCCAGUACCCCCCCAUUUUUUAAUGAUUGACCUCGGAUUAGGUAGGGAUACCCGCUGAACUUAAGCAUAUCAAUAAGCGGAGGA
RNAcentral lists this ribosomal RNA (490 nucleotides) under uncultured fungus. Its description in RNAcentral is "eukaryotic LSU rRNA". The stretch from base 128 to 281 matches the Rfam family "5.8S ribosomal RNA". Lineage: Eukaryota; Fungi. The record is from RNAcentral.